UGGGUUGUGGCUCAGCGGUAGAGUGCUCCUAUACUGCAUGUGAGGCCCUUGGUUCAAUCCUUAGCACCAUAU
RNAcentral lists this transfer RNA (72 nucleotides) under Marmota monax (woodchuck). RNAcentral's name for it is "tRNA.Ser". The record is from RNAcentral. Lineage: Eukaryota; Metazoa; Chordata; Mammalia; Rodentia; Sciuridae.